RNAcentral lists this long non-coding RNA (1033 nucleotides) under Equus caballus (horse). Its description in RNAcentral is "lncRNA (ENSECAG00000039845.3)". Lineage: Eukaryota; Metazoa; Chordata; Mammalia; Perissodactyla; Equidae. The record is from RNAcentral.
UUUUUAUCCACUUGAUCUGUACAUUACAGAAAAAUAUAUUAAAAUCUCCUAGUAUGAUGAUGGGUCCCAGAGUCUGGCUCCUAUUCCCAGUACACAAGACCUAUCAAAACCUGGCUCUAGGCCCCCGGGGACUGGCAGACAUCUUCAGGGCACAGUGCCAAAUGUGUUCAUGAAGACAGUAACAUUCCUCUCAUCAUUUUCUCCAGAACUUUGGUGCUUUGAGUCAAAGGUUGACAUAAAGCUUUCAAAACAAAUGCGUGUUUGCACCUCCGCCUCGGGGCCGCAGGAACCUGGACUCAGGGACUAUUUAGACAACACUGAGUUGGAGGAGAAGACUACCAACUGCUCUGGAUUGAUGACACCGUUUGGGCGUAAAAUGGGCAGAAGGAGGAUGGUAGGAAGAAAAGCAGGAGAGAUGUUGCUGCCUCUUCUCAGAGGUAACACGAGCUGCCUAAACCUCUGCUGAGGAGAUAGAAGGCAAGCAUCCUGGGAGAGGAACCCCUUGGGAGAGUUUGAAGGAGACUGAGUGUCAAGGAAACCCGCAAACUACAGCAGAAAGGCAAGAAUGGAUUGUGGCUAGCUGGACACUGGGCCCUCCGCUGGCACUGUGGUCACUGCUGGCCCCAGUGCCACCAAUGCCACAGGACACUGGAUGCCAUAGCCACCAACUCCACCAGAAGGAGUUCCGAUUAUGUUGUUCAGUCUGGAUUUAGAAGUCUCAGCUAGGAAUAGUGGCAGAAGUAAUUGAGAAGCAAGAAGUAUGAGGAUGGACGGGGAGGGAGCAAACCACUUACCCGGUCAUGGACGAUUUGCCAGGAGCUGGGCCUUUAAUCAUCAGUUUUCUAUUAAUUCCUGGAACCAGACCCUCCCUGGCACAAUGGGAGUGCCAAUUUCCUCUCACUGCUCCUGGAUCUGACUGAGGCAGCUCAAGAAGGAGGAAGUCGGGGAGAUCUGAUCGGAUGAAGGGGAGAUGGGAGACUAGAAAACAGAAAUUGCUCAAAAAGGAAUUGAGCCCUUUGGAUGGGAAACAGGA